UACGUAGGUGGCAAGCGUUGUCCGGAAUCACUGGGCGUAAAGCGCGCGCAGGCGGCGAUCUACGUCUGGGGUGAAAGCCCGUAGCUCAACUCCGGGACUGCCUUGGAUACGGGGUCGCUUGAGGAUUGGAGAGGCAAGGGGAAUUCCACGUGUAGCGGUGAAAUGCGUAGAUAUGUGGAGGAACACCUGUGGCGAAGGCGCCUUGCUGGCCAAUUUCUGACGCUGAGGCGCGAAAGCGUGGGGAGCAAACAGG
This 253-nucleotide ribosomal RNA is filed under the name uncultured bacterium. Its description in RNAcentral is "partial 16S ribosomal RNA". It matches the Rfam family "Bacterial small subunit ribosomal RNA", at positions 524 to 776 of the family's 1533-position model. The record is from RNAcentral.